CCCCCAGGAAAAGUCCCUUUUUCCUAAAUGUAUACCAACAAAACAGCGAAGAAUAACAAAUAAAUAAACGGAAAGUAAGUUUUAGGCUUUAUCCUUUGUCCUUGUUUAACAAAAUCGAUCUAAAUUGUUACGUUUUUCUACCACUAAGUAAUGAUAAAUUAUUGUUAAUAAUUUUUUAUUUUUUGGUUGCUCAGAAGGCAGGAAAGAGCAUUUCCAGGUUUCAAAUUUGAAAAAUUUUCUGGAGAUUAUGCCCCCACACACGUGGCCUUCGGGCAUUGGUAUCCCCCUCUAAUAAGUAUAAUGAUAAAUUAUGGUUAAUAUUCUAUUUUACUUUUUGUGCAUUUUUUCCUUCUUUUAUUUCAAAUACAAGUAUAGUUAGCAUAAAUUUUAGAGCAAAUUUGGAUGCUCAGAAUGCAGGAAAUGGCAUUUCCGUGUUUCAAAUUUCAAAAAUUUUCUGGGGGAGUACACCCCCACACACGUGACCAUUGAGAUCCUCCUCUAAUAAGUAAUGAUAAAUUAUGGUUAAUAUUUUUUUUUAAACUUUUUGUGGGGUUUUUCCUUCUUUUAUUUAAUUUUGGAGCGCAUUUGGAUGCUCAGAAUGCAGGAAAUGGCAUUUUUGUGCUUCAAAUUUCAAAAUUUUUCUGGGGAAGUACACCCCCCCUCAUUCAUGCGUGCAUGGUAUAUUCGGCGCACACGUGGCCUUCAGCCAUUGCUAUCUCCCUGUAAUAUAUUAUCUCACAGAAAGGUCCCUUUUCAAAAAAUCCCCCCCACGGGAAAAUUCUUAAAAAAGGCCCUGUGACAGACAGCCAUAAUUUUUUUUACCCAAUCCAUGAGCUAGUCAAAAACUUGAUUACGCAACCCAUAUCUCUUCGGUACCAACCCCGGGUAUAAAUAAUGAACGGUCCCUAAUGGGAGUAAUGCUAUUCACAAAUUAUUGUAUAGAUUGACAUUAAUUUAUCAGUUCGCUGAACAUGAAACCAAAUAUAUAUCGUUUCGAAAUCUAUUUAACACGAUCCUUUGACAAAGUUAUACUGUGCACAAAGCAUCAAAACAAAGACAGUCAGUUGUUUUCGAUAAAUCUAAUAUAGACUUUUAGAUUUUUUGAUGUUCAGUCGUUGCACAUAUGUGCUAUAUUUGUUUAGCUAUAUAAUUCUAAAUACCUAGUAUUUAAAGAAUUAUGUAAGGCUGUAGUUAUUACAACUUGCUAUAGAUGAAAUAAAUUUCACAAGAAAAACAACAAACAUGCUGUUUCAACUUUUUCAGAAAUGAACAAAUAAAAAAAAUGUAUUAAAAAAUCAAAUCAGUCGCUUUCAUCUCCUUAAGAAUUAAACAGCCCUGCUAAACAAAUACUGGCAACGCAGAUUGUUUUAUAUGCGCACGGGUUAACGACUUCAUCUAGUUUUCGGACUGAAGAAGGUUUCAAGCUAUUUUCAUGUGAGCGAGAUAUUUACCGUUCAUGUAAACAACACAACAGUUUUAUGUUAAUUCACUUAAAUUUCUUUUGUUUUUGGUGCAUUAUAUGCUAUAAGUGCAUGGUACAUUUAAAAACUUACAUACUCCUGCAUGGUAUACCUAUAAAAUUAACGGUUACCUCGGCCCGCACGUAAGGUAUGCUUUAAUACUUUGGCCAUGCAUAUAUGCCUUAAUUCUUACGUUGUAUUCUAUUAGCCAAUAAAAUUCAAAUAGACUUAAUAUAUCCCUUUGACAGUAUCAUCAAUUUCGUAUCAACUGCUUUAGCCAAUAAAAUCGAAAGGAAUAAAGAUCAAUGUGAAACUGAACAUUAAAAAAUAUUACAGAGUUUGCCGAACUACGCUGUCGUUCUCGGCACAAUUUUGUGAAUAACCUCCGAAUAAAUGAGCGCAAUAUUUGUAUAGUAAACAUACAAAUUUGCAAGCGUUCUGACUCCGUGUCAAAAAUUAUGAUCUUUCUGUCAUUUGUAUAAAACAACCUAAAAACUAGAAAUAAUUACAGUCUACAUGUGCAAGUAGUAGUAUUAUGCAAGAAAAUAAACCAAAGGUGACUG
This is a non-coding RNA of Paramuricea clavata, 2023 nucleotides long. NCBI's taxonomy places the organism in Eukaryota, Metazoa, Cnidaria, Anthozoa, Malacalcyonacea, Plexauridae. The record is from the annotation of a GenBank genome assembly.